GCGGGGGAGGGCGAGGGCGCGCCCGAGGCCUCCCCCGGCAACCAAAACCCCGGCGCCCCAGGCGCCAAGGAACAGAAAAUGAAAGCGAGGCGCGCUCGCUGGCGGCCCGGGAACGGCGCCGACCCCCCAGCGGCCGCGCCUCUUGCCACAUUCAAAUGUGCAUCCGAAACGACUCUCGGCAACGGAUAUCUCGGCUCUCGCAUCGAUGAAGAACGUAGCGAAAUGCGAUACUUGGUGUGAAUUGCAGAAUCCCGUGAACCAUCGAGUCUUUGAACGCAAGUUGCGCCCGAAGCCGUCAGGCCGAGGGCACGCCUGCCUGGGCGUCACGCAGCGUCGCCAACGCCCGAUCCUGCGGGCGUGGCGGAUGAUGGCCUCCCGGGAGCCCCGCCUCCCGGCUGGCCGAAAAGGGGGCCCAACGUGGCGACCGCCACGAUCCACGGUGGUUUGAGCGAACGCUCUCGCGAGGCCGAGACGUGCGCGCGUCGUCCCACCGGUCUUGGGCCCGUCGGCAAAGAUGUUACCACAGUUGCCCGCUCGUACGCGACCCCAGGUCAGGCGGGG
This 561-nucleotide ribosomal RNA is filed under the name Acacia mearnsii. RNAcentral's name for it is "eukaryotic LSU rRNA". The stretch from base 171 to 326 matches the Rfam family "5.8S ribosomal RNA". The record is from RNAcentral. Lineage: Eukaryota; Viridiplantae; Streptophyta; Magnoliopsida; Fabales; Fabaceae.